RNAcentral lists this ribosomal RNA (253 nucleotides) under uncultured bacterium. Its description in RNAcentral is "partial 16S ribosomal RNA". It matches the Rfam family "Bacterial small subunit ribosomal RNA", at positions 524 to 776 of the family's 1533-position model. The record is from RNAcentral.
UACGGAGGGUGCGAGCGUUAUCCGGAAUUACUGGGUUUAAAGGGUGCGUAGGCGGCGCUGUAAGUCAGGAGUGAAAGUUUGCGGCUCAACCGUAAAAUUGCUUUUGAUACUGCGGUGCUAGAAUUAGGAUGAGGUCAGCGGAAUGUGGCAUGUAGCGGUGAAAUGCAUAGAUAUGCCAUAGAACACCAAUUGCGAAGGCAGCUGGCUAGACCUAUAUUGACGCUGAGGCACGAAAGCGUGGGGAGCGAACAGG